Ostrinia nubilalis (European corn borer) is the source of this 771-nucleotide long non-coding RNA. RefSeq lists it as uncharacterized. Lineage: Eukaryota; Metazoa; Arthropoda; Insecta; Lepidoptera; Crambidae. The record is from RefSeq and is a predicted model, not a curated record. The transcript has 3 exons.
GCCAGCGAUAAUUCGAUGGUUUUGUGAUGUCAUGUUGGUGAACAUGUUAACGUAUCCAACUUCACACUCUAUGAAUGGAUGAAUGAAAGAACGAAUGCCGCUCCUUUCUAACUAUAUAGAAAAGAUAGAGUAGGAAAUAACAAAAAUGUCAAAAAUAACACUGCAAAAUUUAAGUGUCCUAGAACAGUGCUUAAAGCUGAAUUAACAUGAUGAUUUUAAAUUUGUAUUGUUUAUUUCUUGUCAUUGCGACUUUGACGCAGCUGUUGUCAUGACAACAGGUAACAAAACAUGUUUUGUUGAAGGAUUAUUGAUGAAUAAUUUUCCACAAAAAAUUGGAUUUUAACCACGAUAGGAAAAUGAGAACCUGCGCCUAUCCGUUUAAACCGAUUGUAGAAUUUAUGGAAAGAUAUGGCGAUCUGAGUAUGCCCACUGAAGGACCCCAAGAAAGAGCCAACAAUAGUCAACGGUGGGUGGAACUAACGGACACGCGAACGUGAAAUGCUGAUGCCACCGGCGACACGAAAACUACUGAGAAAUUGAGAAAAGUGUGGAGUGACUUUAAACAGCAAGAAGAAGGCACCUCGCAUACACAGAGCUGCCAAGGGAACACUGGACUGGUGGCGGUCCAGGUUCUUCCCUGAAGCCAAAGGAUUUAGAGCAGAGUGCUUGUAAAUAACUACUUGUAAAUUAAAUCCAUAAUAAAGACCUAGGGUAACUGGAUGGAUAUACCUACCUUAUUAUUGUAAAAGAUAUUAUAACUAAUUAAAUACA